RNAcentral lists this ribosomal RNA (266 nucleotides) under uncultured bacterium. RNAcentral describes it as "partial 16S ribosomal RNA". It matches the Rfam family "Bacterial small subunit ribosomal RNA", at positions 524 to 784 of the family's 1533-position model. The record is from RNAcentral.
UGCGUAGGGUGCGAGCGUUAAUCGGAAUUACUGGGCGUAAAGCGUGCGCUAGGCGGUUGUGUAAGACAAGGUCGUGAAAUCCCCGGGCUUAACCUGGGAACGGCGCUUGUGACUGCACGGCUAGAGUACGGCAGAGGGGGGUGGAAUUCCACGUGUAGCAGUGAAAUGCGUAGAUAUGUGGAGGAACACCGAUGGCGAAGGCAGCCCCCCUGGGGCCAGUACUGACGCUCAUGCACGAAAGCGUGGGGAGCAAACAGGAUUAGAUA